RNAcentral lists this long non-coding RNA (912 nucleotides) under Homo sapiens (human). RNAcentral describes it as "HSALNT0166095". Lineage: Eukaryota; Metazoa; Chordata; Mammalia; Primates; Hominidae. The record is from RNAcentral.
CACACACCAGAAAUUUGCCAAGAAGGAGGCAUACAUUAAGUGCCAAAUGAUUGGCAGGGUCAGUAGAAUUCAGAUGGAAGGAUACUUGGGAUGGUCACAGAUGACUUCAGAAGGAACCUUCUUUUGGACCCUCAUUGAUGCCUAGCUCGGAGUGACUUGCUUGAAAUAAUAUACCAUUCCAAACAGCAAACCAAACUAUGUCUACAAAGAAUGUUUUUUUACCCUCAGCCAAAUGCUCCACCUGAAAACUGGAAUAGUCAGCAUACCUCCUAGGGAAUUUUGGAGUGGAGUAGACAGGGAAACAGCCCCAUGGCCAUGGUGGGGCAGAGGGCCUUGUUUUUCAGUGCACACACCCCAAGGCCCAUGUAAGAGCCAAGGGGCUCAGCUUCCUGUUAACGGGUAUUCAACAUGGGAAAAACAUCUAGGGUCAGAUCUCUCUAAGACAUCACAGUGUAAACAAAACUAAAUAGGUUUUCCUUAAUUCUAGGAGGAGGAUUUGAUAUGAAGCAUUUCUCCAGCAUGUGGAACCAUAGAACCCAUUUUUAGAGGAACAACUUAGGAGAUUAGUGCCAUGUAGAAUGUGCUUUGGGACUUGAUGUUGAAACCAGUGUUUUUGAUAGAUGCAGAUAUCGUGUCACUUCUCUGGGUCUCAGUAUCCUCAUUUCUGCCAUGAAGGGUGCUGUUUCUUAGAUCGCUUCUACAGACUUUUUCCAGUACUGAAAUUCUGCAGGACUACUCACCCAUUAGGAGGAGAACAUUGCUUUUGCAGUACAUUUCCAUGACUUGUGAUAAAUGAGUGGUUCCCCACUGAAGAGGGGAAGAUUUAACAGUGUCCCCCAGGACAUGUUUGACAUCUUUUUUUCUUUGGUUGUUACAACUGGCAUCUAGUGGGUAGAGGUCAGGGGUGCUGCC